RNAcentral lists this RNase P RNA (428 nucleotides) under Burkholderia pseudomallei. RNAcentral's name for it is "RNase P RNA component class A". It matches the Rfam family "Bacterial RNase P class A". Rfam says of the family: Ribonuclease P (RNase P) is a ubiquitous endoribonuclease, found in archaea, bacteria and eukarya as well as chloroplasts and mitochondria. Its best characterised activity is the generation of mature 5'-ends of tRNAs by cleaving the 5'-leader elements of precursor-tRNAs. Cellular RNase Ps are ribonucleoproteins. The record is from RNAcentral. Lineage: Bacteria; Pseudomonadati; Pseudomonadota; Betaproteobacteria; Burkholderiales; Burkholderiaceae.
CGAGUCGGCUGGGCGGUCGCGUCGGGCGCCACCACAUUCUUCGGAAUGCGGCGGUUUCCCGCCGAGGAACGUCCGGGCUCCACACGGCAGGGUGGUGGGUAACGCCCACCCGGGGUGACCCGCGGGACAGUGCCACAGAAAACAAACCGCCGAGAGCCGACAGGCACUCGGUAAGGGUGAAACGGUGGUGUAAGAGACCACCAGCGUCCGAGGUGACUCGGACGGCUAGGUAAACCCCACCCGGAGCAAGGUCAAGAGGAACCGCCGAUUGGCGGUUCUGCGCGAACGAUCGAGGGCUGCCCGCCCGAGUUCGCGGGUAGACCGCACGAGGCUGUCGGCAACGGCAGCCCUAGAUGGAUGGCCGCCUCCCCCGCGCGCCGCAAGGCCACGGGGAGACAGAACCCGGCGUAUAUGGCCGCACUCGUCCG